Molecule: ribosomal RNA, 253 nt
Filed under: uncultured bacterium
Lineage: Bacteria
Description: partial 16S ribosomal RNA
Rfam family: Bacterial small subunit ribosomal RNA
Source: RNAcentral
UACAGAGGUCCCAAGCGUUGUUCGGAUUCAUUGGGCGUAAAUGGUGCGUAGGCGGCGCGGUAAGUCGGGUGUGAAAUCUCGGGGCUUAACUCCGAAACUGCAUUCGAUACUGCCGUGCUUGAGGACUGGAGAGGAGACUGGAAUUUACGGUGUAGCGGUGAAAUGCGUAGAUAUCGUAAGGAAGACCAGUGGCGAAGGCGGGUCUCUGGACAGUUCCUGACGCUGAGGCACGAAGGCCAGGGGAGCAAACGGG